Long non-coding RNA from Penaeus chinensis, 460 nucleotides. RefSeq lists it as uncharacterized. The record is from RefSeq and is a predicted model, not a curated record. The transcript has 2 exons. NCBI's taxonomy places the organism in Eukaryota, Metazoa, Arthropoda, Malacostraca, Decapoda, Penaeidae.
CUUUGCCGCUCCUCAAUACAGCUCAAGUGAAGAGGCUGAGUUUAUCCCAAUCCUUAAGGACGACCGCGUCCAAGAGGAAGACGGAACAUACAGCUUCGACUUCGAAACUGGCAAUGGCAUCCGCGUGUCCCAGGCUGGAUCCCCUGACGGAGAUGAGGACGCAGUGAUCAAGGCCGGAGAAUACUCUUACACCGCUCCUGACGGCACUGAAAUCCGUCUCCGUUUCGUUGCUGACGACAACGGUUUCCAGCCCGAGGGCGACCACCUGCCCGUGGCUCCCGAGUUCCCCCACCCAAUCCCUCAGUUCGUCCUGGACCAAAUCGCCUUCGCCGCCGAGGAGGACGCCGCCCGCGCCGAUUCCGAUGAAAAUUAAGCCUUUGAAUAAGCUUACGAUUCCAGAAACUUCACGCAAAUAUACAUUUAUUUAUUGUACAUUAUUAUAAAUAAAUCAUGUAAAUAG